AUUCAACUCCCAGCUAGCAGUUCAGAAACAAGUGCUGCGCGCGGCGCGCGCGCGUACGUACCUGGAGGCGGCGAGCGGCGGCGAAGUAGCGGAGGUAGACGAAGUACGCGGCGGCGAGGCCGAUGGGGAGGCCGAGGCAGAAGCCGACGACACCGCCGACGAGGCCCAUCGUCUAUAUACCGCCGCCCUCCUCUGCCGCGAUCGCACGCGAAUGGCUACCCGGCCGGCCUCUCCUUCUCCUCCUCCUCGGAUGCGUCGAGGCGGCGGCGGCGGCGGCGGCGGGGGCAACGACUGGAGUAUAUGCUAUAGCAUAGCAGUAGUAGAAGCGACGAAUGAAGCAGCGGGUCGGAGGCGGCAACGGCAAGCGCGAGGCGGGGUGGCGUGGGGACGGGCGGAGUUUUUGUUGCUUUGGAUGGACGCUCCGUGCGUGCCGUGGAG
This 438-nucleotide unclassified non-coding RNA is filed under the name Zea mays. RNAcentral describes it as "misc RNA Zm00001eb225530". Lineage: Eukaryota; Viridiplantae; Streptophyta; Magnoliopsida; Poales; Poaceae. The record is from RNAcentral.